UACGUAGGGUGCAAGCGUUAUCCGGAAUUAUUGGGCGUAAAGAGCUCGUAGGCGGUUUGUCGCGUCUGCUGUGAAAACUGGGGGCUCAACCUCCAGCCUGCAGUGGGUACGGGCAAACUAGAGUGCGGUAGGGGAGAUUGGAAUUCCUGGUGUAGCGGUGGAAUGCGCAGAUAUCAGGAGGAACACCGAUGGCGAAGGCAGGUCUCUGGGCAUUAACUGACGCUGAGGAGCGAAAGCAUGGGGAGCGAACAGG
RNAcentral lists this ribosomal RNA (253 nucleotides) under uncultured bacterium. RNAcentral describes it as "partial 16S ribosomal RNA". It matches the Rfam family "Bacterial small subunit ribosomal RNA", at positions 524 to 776 of the family's 1533-position model. The record is from RNAcentral.